GUUGCACCAUUGAGAGCAUCUUGACUGGCUGCAUCACCGCUUGGUAUGGCAACUGCUUGGCAUCUGACUGCAAGGCGCUACAUCUCUGUGGCCGAGCUACCUGCCAUCCAGGACCUCUAUACCAGGCGGUGUCAGAGAAAUGCCCUAAAAAUUGAGAAGCGGUACCGAUGCACCAAGUGUGGAACCAACAGGACCCUGAACAGCUUCUACCCCCAAGUCAUAAGACUGCUAAAUAGUUCACCGGGUAGCUAUUGGUUAACUAUCUGCAUUGACCGUUUUUGCACUGUCUUUUGAGUCAUCACAUAUGCUGCUGCUACUGUUUAUUAUCUAUCCUGUUGCCUAUUCACUUUAUCCCCAUCUACAGUAUAUGUACAUAUCUACCUCAAUGUUGGGCUCCCGAAUAGUGCAACAGUCUAAGGCACUGCGUCUCUACAGUCCCUGGUUCGAUUCCAAGCUGUAUCACAACCGGCCGAGAUUGGGAGUCCCAUAAGGAGGCGCACAAUUGGCCCAGCAUUGUCCGGGUUUGGUCAGGGUAGGCCGUCAUUGUAAACAAGAAUUUGUUCUUAACUGAUUUGCCUAGUUAAAUAAAAGUAAAUAAAUACCUAAAUAAGUACCCCUGCACCUCAAUUACCUCGUACUCCUGCACAUCGACUCGGUACUGUUACCCAGUAUAUAUAGCCAAGUUAUCAUUACUCAUUGUGCAUUUAUUCCUUGUGUUAUUUUUUUCUAUUGUUUCAAUUUGUUUCACUGCAUUGUUGGGAAGGGCCAAUAAGUAAGCAUUUCACUGUUAGUCUACACCUGUUGAUUUACGAAGCAUGUGACAAAUAAUGUAUUUUAAUUUGAUUUGAUCUUACGCUGUGGGUGAAGAGUAUCUGCCAUCAUCUCUGGUGGAGUUGUAGCUCAUGUGGAGGAGUUAGAGGUAAAUACAUAAAUCAAUAGUGUAACUGUAGAAAAACAACCCCACUCAUGUCUCACUCCCCUCAGCUGGUCUCAGACCACUUUGAAGUGUUUGUGACAGUAUUACCCAUCCCCCAGUGGGGGAUGGGUAUCAGGAGCCCUGUCUAUCUGCCCUGUCUAUCAGGAGCCAACAAUCUACUCACCCUGACAGCUACAUCUCAGUUUCCCGGAACGGUGUGCAGAUAUCAACAAUGCUUGUCUGUUGAAUUCAUGCCUGUUUGUGAUCAAAUGUCAUUUUCAGGAGUUGAAGUGCAGGUUCAGGUCAAUGCUCCAUCACAAAUAAAUAAAAUAACAUCUGUGGAGUCUAUCGCUGGGAAGUGGACGGAGUGGAACACCACUGUUACCAUGGAGCGCUAACAGCGGACCAGCAGUGGAAGAAGAGGUAAUUACAGGAAGAUUCACCAACCUUCAAAGCCCUGUACUCUCUGGUCAUGGACAAACGCCUGCAGAAUGAUCUCGAUCAGAUGGGACAGUUCAAGCACACAGGAACACUUGAGGUAUUUCACAGUUCUAUGUUGAAAUACUGUCAAAAGCGUCUCCACUUCAAAGACUACAGCAUGAAAGCCCGUACCCAGUUGACAGUUUUGGACCAGAAUGAGAAUCAGAACCGUAAUAGAGGACAAGCCUCAACCAUUGUUGUCAACGUUGGAUUGCCCGGCCAAUAUACCAGCCCACCAGGAAUGACCUGAUUGAGCGCAUCCUCAUGGACAAAUUAGUGAAAUACUGGGAGCCAAAAUCCUGUGGAAGCGGCUGUCGUCUGGCUGCCAACAGCCCCCAUCCCAAACCCCAGCAAGGAGGUGGUUAUUGCAGCACACACAUCAAGACUCAAGGACACUUGGGGGAUUUUCUGACCCCCCCCCCCCCCCAACCUAAUACGAACACACUCCAUUGUAAUAUAAUUUGUUAGCAUCUUAUCCUUAACACUGGAUUUGAUAAAAAUCCAUCUAAUGUAGGCUUCUACUGUAAAUAAAAGCGCCGCCAUACCUACUUUAUACUGUCUAUUUUAACAUUGGUUGAUGUGAAUUUUGAGAAUGCCUUGUCUAUACUGUGUAUUGUUCGUUGUUGUAUUGAACCUUUAUUUAACUAGGCAAAUCAGUUAAGAACAAAUUCUUAUUUACAAUGACGGCCUACCUGGCCAAACCUGGCCAACGCUGCGCUGCCCUAUGGGACUCCCAAUCAUGGCCAGAUGUGAUACAGCCUGGAUUCAAACCAGGGACUGUAGUGACAC
This 2185-nucleotide long non-coding RNA is filed under the name Salmo salar (Atlantic salmon). RNAcentral describes it as "lncRNA (ENSSSAG00000089960.1, ENSSSAG00000092153.1, ENSSSAG00075057000.1)". The record is from RNAcentral. Lineage: Eukaryota; Metazoa; Chordata; Actinopteri; Salmoniformes; Salmonidae.